GUCAGAAACCAUAUGAUAUUCGUCACUGUUCACAUGAAAUAACAUGUUACUGACUCAUGAGUAAAGUGCCUUCUCCCAGUAACCCUUCUUCUCUCUUCCUCUUUGUUGGCACCCUUCGCAACCCAUCUUCCCCAAAAAAUAUCUCUCUACUCUCUUCUACAAAAGAAUUCCUGCACAGCAAAAUUAUAGCCUCUUGGUACUUACCUAUCUACUUCCUUCAUACCUUGACCUCACAAUCCCUUCUCCUUUCGAGGCGAAUCUCCUAUCCUCAUGAGCCUCCUCAAGGCCGUGUGCUCCAUGGUCCAUACAUGGAUCAGCUUUACCGAUUCCUCUAGUACAAGCCUAUGGAAGGGUAGUUGUUUGAUCGGCCUUGUCAUGCCCCUAUGAUCUGCCUCCCUUAUCUCAGCCUCAAUUAUAAACCAACCAUGCCCAAAACCAGAAUAUGCACGAGAUCUACUUCUUGCACACGUCUUCGCAUUGAGUUGGGACACAAAACACUUGCAAUGUCCAGAUACGCUAUCACCGGGUCGACAACGCGCUCCUUUAGGUGAUACUACCUAAGAUCUUCCAUUCGUGGUUCCAGGGAGGUAUGAUUGCACUUUCAUCGAACCCUUUUCAAGUGGAUCCUUACUUAAAAUAAAUUUCACAAAUUGAUUACAUUAUCAUAUUAGUCUUAUUAGAAUAUUUGGUUAUUCUUGCAUUUUUUACCAUGUUAGAAUAUUAGUUAAGCUUCUAUAUGAGCUAUUAAUACACAAGGAAUGUAUAUGUGCUGAGAAGUAGUAAACUACUAACCAUUAGGUGUCUAGCCUUUUGGAUUGCAUAUUCUUAUUUUUACAUAUUUGUUACAUUAUUAUAUUAAAAUAUUUGGUUAUUCCUAUAUUUGUGUCAAGAGGGCGGCUGCUAGUGUUAUGUAAUCAAUCCAUGAUUAGUUAUAAAAGAAGAUCGAGCUAUAAUAUGAGCAAAUAAUGUAAAAAAAUGGUAGGAUUUAAGUCAUUAAUGUAAUAAAGGUCAAAUAAUUUCUAUGUAAAGCACUUGGCUAUCUCUAUAAGGAGCCCUCUGUUUUUGAAAUGAGAAAUCAAGAGAUUAUCUACCUAAUAUGUCGUCGAGAUUGGACUUUAAAGGACCUACUUCCUUAAAGCCCAAUUACAUUAUAGUACUCCUGCAUCACAGGGCAAUAUUAUUAUCAAGUUGGCUACAAAUCUUAUGAAUAAUGUUAUCAAAUAUCACGCCCCAAACCCGAAACAACUAUAAUUUGUCAAAAAUUUUACUCUUACAGAACCUGCUUAAAACUUCUAUACCACAAUAGUUUCUUUAUCUAUAAUAUAUGGUUAUUAUUAUACAAGGAGUGUCUAUGUGCUGAAUAGUUUAGAAGUAGUAAACUACUAACCAUUAGCUGUCUAGCUUUUUGGAUUGCAUAUUCUUAUUUUUGCAUUGAGUAGUUCUUUAUGGAUGAUGCUGAGGUCUAGCAUGAUCAUGACCUAUGGGCAGAUGGGUUGGAGGAGAUGUUGGUAGACAUUCUCUACCAAGAAACCAUUGAGGUAAAAUUGGUUGGGUCGAAAAUCACCAGCUGAGAUCAUGUAAGACAUGCAACAAAGAUGACAAUGGGUUGGAACUAGCAAACAAAAAUCGUAAUUGCCACGGAGGAACAUUGGGCUAAUGCAAUACAGUGUGUAGCCAAAGGAGGAAUUUCAAGACAAACAGCUAUAGAGAAUACGAUCUCCUCUACACCAUUUUUGGUCAGUUGCCACAUGAGUCCUCCACUAUGCCUCCAACGCAAGAACCCCCCACGUGUGAGGAGGAGCAUCGCCUUGAGGAAGAGCUGAGGGCAUAGGCCCCUGUACUAGGAACUGCCACGGAUGCGCCAAUAAACAUAGAUGCGCUGGACAUAGAUAUAGAUGGGUUGUAUGGGAGACAGGCAGCCCAUGCAAGGAGUACUUGUCAGCGAAGAAGGGAGGCAUCCUGAGGUGGCGAAGUGUUCUUGGGCUAGUUGUUCUAGAAACUGCAGAAUGGAGGAAGGAAGUGAUUAGGAUUAUGAACCCCGACUGGAGGCCAACAAUGCAACCGAAGGUGCAUCCAGUAGUAACUAGUAUCCAACGUGGGACGAAUACUAGGAUUGGAGGAUGCAUGAUCCCUCAAUGUGGGAUCACAUAGCCAUUCUAAUGGUUGCUGCAGAAGAGGAGGAAUCUAUGGAACCAAAAGUUGAGCAAAUGCUGAAGCAUAACAUUAGCUUAUGCAGACGAGACUAUAUAGUCGCAAUCCUCAAUAGACAUCCAAAGAAUUGUUAUAACAUGUUCCAGAUGGAAAUAUAUGCGUUUCAUGUGUCAUGCAAUACGUUACACGCAAAUGCCAUUAUGGAAUCGAUAAGAGGGGCUUUUGUGAAAGAAGCUGUUACAGACAAUUAAUCCGAAUCGUUAUGAUGGACAGACAAUUAAAGAUAACCUAACUCAUCUUGUGUGCUCUUGACAUGUCACCUGCAUCAGUACAAGCCAUGCCUGCAAUUAGGGAAUCUGUCACACUACCUAUGUGGGCACAUAGGACUACGAAUUAAUAGUCAUAAUAUUGUUUAUGGUAUUGUAUGACCAUUUUUGUAAGUGUGGAACAUGUUUUGGAAAUUGGAGGCUUUAUGUCAUUAAAUAUAAAUAUUUUUUUAUUAGCUAACAUGUUAAAUGAGAAAUGCAAUUGAUGUGAAGUUGGAUGUA
Molecule: long non-coding RNA, 2699 nt
Organism: Carya illinoinensis
Lineage: Eukaryota; Viridiplantae; Streptophyta; Magnoliopsida; Fagales; Juglandaceae
Exons: 4
Source: RefSeq, a predicted model, not a curated record